This 108-nucleotide transfer RNA is filed under the name Entamoeba invadens IP1. It matches the Rfam family "tRNA". Rfam says of the family: Transfer RNA (tRNA) molecules are approximately 80 nucleotides in length. Their secondary structure includes four short double-helical elements and three loops (D, anti-codon, and T loops). Lineage: Eukaryota; Evosea; Mastigamoebida; Endamoebidae. The record is from Rfam by way of RNAcentral.
GUGGAGGUAGUUUAGUUGGUAAAACGUUUUAUUUAACAAUAAUCUUUCUAGAUUUAUGUUAUAAGUCAAAAUACAAAAAAGUCGUGGGUUCAACUCCCACCUUCCACG